Small nucleolar RNA from Cynoglossus semilaevis (tongue sole), 132 nucleotides. Ensembl annotates it as small nucleolar RNA SNORA47. NCBI's taxonomy places the organism in Eukaryota, Metazoa, Chordata, Actinopteri, Pleuronectiformes, Cynoglossidae. The record is from Ensembl.
UGGAGGUCUGAGAAGGUUGAGCAGCUUCUGUUGUGCUGCUACAACUGGUUAUAACCUCCUAAAGAAAAAAAAAUCUCAAACAAGCCACUUGAUUUUCUGCUGUGUUCUGAACACAGCUGCCGUGAGCUGUUU